This 254-nucleotide long non-coding RNA is filed under the name Elaeis guineensis (African oil palm). RNAcentral describes it as "long non-coding RNA (EGUI_LNC044596)". The record is from RNAcentral. Lineage: Eukaryota; Viridiplantae; Streptophyta; Magnoliopsida; Arecales; Arecaceae.
CCCCCACGACGGUAGGAGAGCCGGCAAAUGAAGCUCCUACAAUGGUCAAAAAGCAGUCGAAGCCCCCACCAUCUCCCAUGAUGGUGGGAGAGCCGGCAAAAUCCCCACAAUGGUGGGAGAGCAGCUGAAGCCCUUACGAUAGUGGGAGUGCAGAUGAAACUCCCAUGAUAGUGGAGGAGCCGACAAAGCCUUCCCGAUAGUGAAAGUACAGAUUAAGCUUCCAUAAUGAUAGAAGAGCAGUCGAAGCCCCCACG